This 1343-nucleotide ribosomal RNA is filed under the name uncultured bacterium. RNAcentral's name for it is "16S ribosomal RNA". It matches the Rfam family "Bacterial small subunit ribosomal RNA", at positions 28 to 1378 of the family's 1533-position model. The record is from RNAcentral.
GACGAACGCUGGCGGCGUGCUUAACACAUGCAAGUCGAACGGAAAGGCCCUGCUUUUGUGGGGUGCUCGAGUGGCGAACGGGUGAGUAACACGUGAGUAACCUGCCCUUGACUUUGGGAUAACUUCAGGAAACUGGGGCUAAUACCGGAUAGGAGCUCCUGCUGCAUGGUGGGGGUUGGAAAGUUUCGGCGGUUGGGGAUGGACUCGCGGCUUAUCAGCUUGUUGGUGGGGUAGUGGCUUACCAAGGCUUUGACGGGUAGCCGGCCUGAGAGGGUGACCGGCCACAUUGGGACUGAGAUACGGCCCAGACUCCUACGGGAGGCAGCAGUGGGGAAUAUUGCACAAUGGGCGGAAGCCUGAUGCAGCAACGCCGCGUGCGGGAUGACGGCCUUCGGGUUGUAAACCGCUUUCGCCUGUGACGAAGCGUGAGUGACGGUAAUGGGUAAAGAAGCACCGGCUAACUACGUGCCAGCAGCCGCGGUGAUACGUAGGGUGCGAGCGUUGUCCGGAUUUAUUGGGCGUAAAGGGCUCGUAGGUGGUUGAUCACGUCGGAAGUGUAAUCUUGGGGCUUAACCCUGAGCGUGCUUUCGAUACGGGUUGACUUGAGGAAGGUAGGGGAGAGUGGAAUUCCUGGUGGAGCGGUGGAAUGCGCAGAUAUCAGGAGGAACACCAGUGGCGAAGGCGGUUCUCUGGGCCUUUCCUGACGCUGAGGAGCGAAAGCGUGGGGAGCGAACAGGCUUAGAUACCCUGGUAGUCCACGCUGUAAACGGUGGGUACUAGGUGUGGGGUCCAUUCCACGGGUUCCGUGCCGUAGCUAACGCUUUAAGUACCCCGCCUGGGGAGUACGGCCGCAAGGCUAAAACUCAAAGGAAUUGACGGGGCCCCGCACAAGCGGCGGAGCAUGCGGAUUAAUUCGAUGCAACGCGUAGAACCUUACCUGGGUUUGACAUGGAUCGGGAGUGCUCAGAGAUGGGUGUGCCUCUUUUGGGGUCGGUUCACAGGUGGUGCAUGGCUGUCGUCAGCUCGUGUCGUGAGAUGUUGGGUUAAGUCCCGCAACGAGCGCAACCCUUGUUCACUGUUGCCAGCACGUUAUGGUGGGGACUCAGUGGAGACCGCCGGGGUCAACUCGGAGGAAGGUGGGGAUGACGUCAAGUCAUCAUGCCCCUUAUGUCCAGGGCUUCACGCAUGCUACAAUGGCUGGUACAGAGAGUGGCGAGCCUGUGAGGGUGAGCGAAUCUCGGAAAGCCGGUCUCAGUUCGGAUUGGGGUCUGCAACUCGACCUCAUGAAGUCGGAGUCGCUAGUAAUCGCAGAUCAGCAACGCUGCGGUGAAUACGUUCCCGGG